Molecule: non-coding RNA, 9709 nt
Organism: Cyanistes caeruleus (blue tit)
Lineage: Eukaryota; Metazoa; Chordata; Aves; Passeriformes; Paridae
Source: RefSeq, a predicted model, not a curated record
CUGGCCGGGAAACUGUGGCCCCCCGCGACGGGCCUUGCCGGUACCUCUGCCGGAGAAGGCUAGAUCGUGGUGUUGGAAAGUACAUCUGUGUUAGUUAUCUCAGAUUUGCAAUGGUUCGUAGUGGAAAAAGUGGUGGGCUCCACCUGAAGCAGAUUGCAUACUACAAACGAACAGGGGAAUAUCAUCCCACAACAUUAUCAAGUGAAAGAAGUGGAAUCAGGAAAGCUGCCAAAAAGUUUGUUAUCAAGGAAAACAAGUUGUUCUAUGUUGGAAAAGACAGAAAACAAAUGCGCCUGGUAAUUGUUUCAGAUGAAGAGAAGAAAAAGGUCCUCAAGAAAUGCCACAAAAAUGCUGCUGGCACUCAUCAUGGUAUAUCAAGGACACUGACUUUAGUGGAGUCUAAUUACUACUGGACCUCUGUAACAAAUGAUGUCAAGCAGUGGGUGUAUGCUUGCCAGCAGUGCCAGGCAGCAAAGAACAUAGCCACCAGAGUGCCCAAAAUACACCACAUCAAAGCAGAGGACCCAUGGGCUGCAGUCACUAUAGGCCUAACGGGACCUUUCAAUGUUACCAACAGAAGUCACAAAUACAUCAUCAUUAUGACAGAUUUGUUUACAAGAUGGACUGUUAUCUUACCACUGCAUGACACUUCAGCAGCUGAAAUUGCCAAGGCCAUCAUAAAUGUGUUUUUCUUAUAUGGGCCACCUCAAAAGAUGCCUAUUGAUCAAGGGAAGGAGCUUGUUUAUCAGAUAAAUGAAGAACUGUUUGCACUGUUUGGAGUGGAACAAAUUGUAUUGUCUUAUCCUCAGACAGAUGAUGUAAAUGAAAGAAUGUCCAAGACAAUCAAAAGUUUCCUUAACAAGUAUUGCAAUGACCAUCCAAAUGAUUGGGAUGAGCAUUUGUCUGCUAUAGCCUAUGCUUUCAAUUUGACAAAUUUGGAGCCAGAUAAAAACACCCCAUAUUUCCAAAUGUUCAACCGUAACCCACAUGUUGUUGAGCCCAUGAGUAUAUUUGUGGAAGGAGGAUACAGCAGUUUUGCCAAAAUAUUUGAAGCAACUAAAAAACUCAGUCAAGCACUGGAAGAAGAGAAAACCUCAGAUUUCCAGGCAGACGAAAAAACUUCAGAUGAACAAAAAACCAGAGCCAAAAUCACAGUCAAAAGGAAGACAAAACAAUUAAAUACCCUUCAGCUUAAAGUUGGACAUGAAGUCCUCAGGCAAAGAAAAAACUGGUGGAAAGAUGGUCGUUUCCAGUCAGAAUGGAUUGGUCCUUGUAUCAUAGAUUAUAUCACAGAAAAUGGCUGUGCAAUACUGAGAGAUUCCACAGGAUCCAGGCUGAAAAGACCCAUCAAGAUGUCUCACCUCAAGCCUUAUAUAAGAGGGUCCAGUGAAAAAGGCAACCAUUACAUUCUACAAGGUGCAGUAGUUUCUGACCAUGAUUAUAUUGGCUUAUCUGAAAGAUCUGAUAAUUCAAACCAACCAGAUUCUGUUGCUGAAAAAGAAAUAAAUGACUACAGAAGAGAUGUCAUGUCUGCUGUGCAGAUUCUACCUGCAGCCAGCAAAGACCAAGUGUCAGCAGAUGAGUCUGAGGUGAGAGAAGAUCAUUGCAUCAGAUCAAACACUGCAAAGCCAGAGCAAUGGCUUUCACCUUGUUGGACCCUUCAGACAAAGACAGAGGAUAUUUAAGCAUACUCUUCUAUCACAUUUCAUUGCCAAGCAGCUUAGAAAUACUGUUACAAACUUAAAAAAAAAAAAAAAAAAAAAAAGUAAUAGCUCCAACUUAUUUAGCCCAAUCUGUUUUACUCUUUUGUGGGUCUAAAAGUGCUUCAGGUAUCUAAUUUGUCUGGAUGUUAAGAAAAAGCACAUAUUCUGAUCAUGCAAUUAAAUUUCAGAUUUUGUUGGUAGAAUGUCAAUGUGGCUGUGCCUUACUCUUAUCCUCCCAGGACAAUGCAUCAUUUCACUGUAAUGACCAUUUAACCCUUGGAUGACUCAUUCCUAAUGUGUCUGUUCAAAGUGAGAUGAAUUAAAUCUAAGCAAGUUGGUGUAAAUUUUCCCUCCACUACAGAGAAGCUCAUGUCUUCCUUUUCCUGUUCUAUAACAGUUUUCUAUUCUUUCUGGGAAGCUGCAGCCUCUGACUUUUACAAUUUUUAAUUUCUAGUCUAAUCCAUUUAAGAUCUCACAAAACAAUAUAACUGCCAAAAUCAAAUGCAUGUGGUGUUCUAUGCAUGAAACAAUGAGGGCUGCAGCUGUUCCCUGCUCAUCAAAAGUCUGCUAGUGUAGAUGGUUUUAAUAUUUCAGACACAUGAAAAAAUCUCAAGAGCAUUUAAUAUUCAUUUGUGCUUUUUCCAUAAACACAUUCUCCAUUUCAGUUACCUCUUCACUGAGCCUGUGCACGUUGUGAGAUUUUCCAUGGACAGUGGGCUAUGAAAGAUUGAUAGAAAGAUGAAGAAAACUAGCAGACAACUGAAUUGAACAAUUCUGCGACUUCUGGAUGGUGCUGUGGAAGAUUUGCUUAUCUUGCUCUCUGAAUUUGUGUGUUCCUUCUCAUUUCUGCUCCUGAAUGUCAUGUGACUUAUAACACAGGUGGAGGAAAGUAGUAUUUAUUAGGAGUUUUCAGUUAAUUUUAGGCAAUUAGACCUAGUCAUCAAGGCGGAUUAAGUGCCUGCCUCCUACAGAAAUUGACAUGCACAGUGCAGUAUGUCUUUGAUAUCAUGAAAUGCAUCUGUGGGAUGCACAGCACCGUGACAGAAUCCUAUCUUUAACUUCAAAUGAAAAAUAAUUAAUACCCAAACUAUGUUGUGUCUUCUGAAAAUGCAGUCCUACAGAUGCAGUUUCUCUCCACCAAGACUUCAGAAAGAGUCUUUCUGAAUACACUGUGGGUGUGCACACAUGGAAUAAAUAUUUAUUUUUAUAUGUCAUGCUUUUGAGGAAAAUAUUAGUGUCAGGGAUAAAAAUGGAGAGUAAGGCAUUGUUUGUAAGCCUCAUUUCUGCUUUGGUAGCUGCAAAAGAGAACCAGCCUCUCUUAUUUUUUUCUUACUCCAAGUGCUCAGUUCCUGAAUUGUGCACAGUACAGCAGAACUGUUUUCUGGAGUGUGGAAUUGUUAGAGCUACAUUGAAGAGAAAGCAGAUGCUGCAGUGAGAGAAUAAUGAGGAAAACACAGAAACAUUUAACUACUCUGUACAUUUAUUAUAUUGCAGAUUGUUCAGGCUUCCUGGUAUUUUGAUCUACUGUAUUAACGAGCAGGUAUUAGUGACUUAUCAGUGCACUGAAAGGUGGCCUUCUUUGCAUGGGGCUCAUUGAAAUAAAAUACAGGGUUUUCAAACUAUUGACAUGAAGAACAUCACUGGAAACUGGAAAAAACCCCACUGUUUUGCCAAAACUGACACAAAGAAGCAAGAUUUAGCAGUGUCUUUAGGAAACGGGUACUAUUCUCUUCUGCACCUAAUGGAAGACUUGCUCGUCUUCUGUUUAUGUCUUGGUAACCAAACUAUGUAGAAAUUUUUAAUGAAAAGCACUACACAAAAAGCUUUAAUUUGAAGAGGAAGGCUUUUCCAGCUAGCAGUAACCAGAUAGUAAACUGAAUUUUAAAACAUUUGAUUUUGGUGCAGUUAAUCCUGAGAGAUGCAUUCCCUGGUCAGUUCUCCUUUCGACUUGUGCAUAGAUGAAGGAAUCUGCAGCAACCUUGCUGCACUGGUAGCAGAAGCAGGUGUGCAAAAAAACAAUAACUAUCAUAGGAAAUAGAGCAUGUCUCCUCUUCCAAGCAGUGCUGCCCUGCUACAGAUUGCUAGUACAGUGACAAGCAGAUCACUGGGAUACAACUUUCUGUAUUUCUCUAUUUCCAUGUACAACUCAUUACUCACAUGGGUGAGUUCUUUUUUAGGUGCUUGAGAAGCAUCUCAAAACUCAUCAGCAGAGCUGGAGCAUUCAGAGCUGCAGCUGGUGGCAAGAAUUGGAGCCUUGAAUAUGUAAAGUGCUAUCUGAAUUGCUUCUGAGUCUUUACCUAGUCAGAAACUUCUUCCAUCGCUCCCGUAGAUUAAAAGACCAAGAAGAGGGAAAGCAGAGCGCAUAGUUACAGUGUCAUACCGGAAAAUAAUUUUUUGGAGCCUUAUCUUUGUGUGUUUGUCUCGCUCUGGAGACGUUCAGGAUUUGUGCUGGAGCGUCGGUCGGGCGGUGGCAGCCUGGAGCCGCGGCAGCCGCCGCCUGCGGGAACGCGGGGCUCGCAGCAGCUGCUGCCCGCUGAACUUCCGAGGCUUCCUCUCGAAAUUACCUUCGCAGCACCAUUUUCGGGAAUUUUCACACAGAACUGUCGAUAAUUACGGGAGCAUUACAUUUCCAAGAGAACAUGACCUGCAUUUUGUGAAGGCUGCGUGACUGACCUGUUACGUGAUCCAGAGUAUAAAACAACUUGCGUGUUGGUUUUAUACCACAGCUGCCAACUAUGGUAAACUUUCAGUACAGCUUUACACCUUCCCAAGAAGUGCUCAUCUUUCACUUGGUUGCGGUGAGCAGGAUCUGACAGGGAAUAAAGGCAUGCCUCCACUUCCUCGUGUGUGGCAGUGUGUGUGACCUGAGAGCCGGUCUGAGGAAACAUGGCAGAACUGUGGGACUCAGUCCCUUGUUUCUGCAAGUAAUUAUCUCUUGAGCAGUCAUUUUAGGACGUGUCAGGGCUGAAGGAAGAAGGAACAGAGGCCAGAGGGUAUUCAGAGCACUGAGAAUUGCAGUGGCCAGGGCAGCGUUCUGCCCUGAAACCCUAAAUAGUAAGUAGCACAAACUUCAGCUUAUUACGGCACUUGCCUAAUCUCAAUUCUGAAAAAAAUCUCCGAUCCUAAUUAAAAACAUUAGCAUCUUAUGUCUCAGAAGAAUAAAUGUAGUCUGUAAUUAAUAAUUCCGCUCGUUUGCUGAGCUGCUACCACUGACUAUUUUCUAGGUGAAAAAAAUUACUCCACUACAUCUUUAAACCAGUACUUUGGCACAGUGCCCUAGAAGAAUACUGCCCAUACAGCAUCUGUAUAUUUUCUAAAAGCUGUGCAGUGAAAUCAGACAGAACUUCACUCACAUGAUGUCAUGCUUCACAUGCAACUCAUUAAUUUAAUAAGAAACAUGAGUGGAAUGGAGAUAAAGAAAGAAACAGUGUAAAGUGCAUUCAUGACCUGUAGUAUUUAGAAAAAAUCUAGUGCAGCUUCCAGGUUGACUACCAUGCACUAUCUUUCCAAAGCAACACCAGCUGAAUGUUCUUUUAGGUUUUUUGGCCACCACAUCUAGAAAUAGCAAGAAGUUUGCAUGUUUUGCUUGGAUAAGUAGCUAUCACUGUAGAUUUUAAAUCCUCCUCUACAUUGUCAGCUCUCCCCUUUUCUUCUGCCAGUAAGGCUUAGCUAUACAGAUGUAAUACAUAGCAUACAUAAAUCUGUGCUAAAAUUAUAAUCUUGUCUGAUAAUGCUCCUAGCAUAUUUCCAGGAAACCUUCUCUGACAAGAUUAUAGUGAUAUGCAGCAAGGCCAACAUGAAUAUUUGUCCACAAGCAGUGUAUUCCAAAGGACCCCUGAAGAGCCUGAAAACAUACAAAAAGCACCUUGGGACAGUUGCAGUUUGUGAAGCAUGGUGGGGAAGUGCUGCAGAUAGCCUUCUCCCUGUCUCACCUGGUGCUGUUCGCCUGGCACAGCACCAAACUGAUUUUUGCUUAUGGUUUCCUUUUUAUGAUUGUAAUUUGAUUAUAGAAUAAAUUUCUUCUUUUAUUAAUCAAAUUGGCUACUAAUUUGUAAUACAGAGAAAUCUAAUUUUUCCCCAUUACUGGAGAAAAGCCUAAAGAGCAGACACAGUGUAAAUUUUACUAAAAAUUUUGAUAAUUCACAUAAAGAAUAAAAAUAUUUUAUUGUGUAAGUAUUUAAAAACGCCAACACAUAAAGGCAAAUCAGGGUGCUAAAACUGUAGGGUUCAGUAGCAUCUGUUUUACAUAGAAACUACAGUGGCUUAAUUUCAGCUCUUAAUUUUAAUUGACUUGAAUAUUCGGUUCUGGUUUGGGGCUUUUUUUACUGGUACAGUACAUGAAUCCACACAAACUGUGAACUAUAUAACAACAUAGUCUUUAAAAUUUUAAAGUAUGCCCUAAUGUGCAAUUAAGUAAUUAAAUAAUAAAGUUGCUUUUGAAUUGCUCAGUAGUGAUGUUCCCCACAACUUUUACUGCUAAUACAUAUCAUGUCUUUCAAGCAAGUUCCCACAUGUGUAUUUGAAUGGCAAGCUAAAAAUUACCAAGCCCCUUCUCUGUAGCAUGGCACAUGCUUAAUCCUAAUGCACUGUAGCAUGAUAGCCACUACUGACCUAAAGACUCCGAUAAAACUUAAAUAAGUCUGGUUUUGGCAAGAAAGAAGCUUUUGCAAUUUACCACAAUGAUCUAUAAAUCCUCAUUUACUCUACAGUGUACUGCUUGAUUAGAAAACUACUCAAUCAAGAUGCUUCUGAAGGAAUCCAUUUGCCCCUAAUGAUACUUGGUGGCAAGGAUAGCUGCUUAAUUGGGAUUUUAAUUUCAGUUAACUGGGAUAUGUUCAGGUGAUGUGGGUGGCAGUGUGUGUGUCACACAUCAGUGCAUCCUCCUCAUGGCACCUUGCAGUUGCCCCAGUCUGCCUGCACUUUACGCAGGUUCACAAAAAGGUGCCAAAAAUUACUUGAGAUCACAGCCACCUUCCCUUAACUCUGUAAGACUCCCCAUGCAUCAGACUGUCUAAAAUAGGGAGAUGCUUAAUACAGUACAGGAAGGUGUUUUGCUACUUGGUCAGCUUAAUUUAAUGAAAAUACUCAGCCCCUACAAUAGCAAAGAUUAUUCUUUCUUUGAAAGACUUAAGAAAAGAUUAAUCAACAACACAUGGACCAUGUCUUUUAAAUCUUAAAAUGUGCAAUUACAUAUUGUUCAUUAAAGCAGAGUCUUAUCUGCAACAACUGCUGAAAACUGAUUUAAACAUGCUCUCCAAAGUUUAGAUCGAAUGACCAGAAUUCGACAUUUAAUACAAUAAAUAGUAUUAGCACAUAGAACCUGUUAGGAUGGAGAAUUGUCUGCUGGCUUAUUAAAAUGAGAACUGUGAUUCAUAAAGCUUAUAUCUUCCUUUUUACAUUAAUUUUCCUAUUGAAGUAUGAAGUCUCUAGUACAUUGUUUUCAUAAAAUGCAGCUUUAAUAAGAGAUAAAGAACAUUCAGUGCCUUCAGGUAGCUUCAUAAGUUCCAGUUUUGCCAUUGUACCUGUACAAAAUUAGAGCAUGAAACUGAGGUGCUGAAAUUUGAUUGCUGCUGGAAAGUAGUUGGUUGCCUCUCCAUGCAGUUAUUAAAAAUUACAGAAUAGCUUGGGUUGAAAGCGACCAUAAAGAUCACCUAAUCCAACCCCUCAGCCAUGGGCAUGGACACUUUCCACUGGACCAGGCUGCUCAGAGCUCCAUCCAACCUGGCCUUGAACGCUUCCAGGGAUGAGGCAUCUACAGCUUCUUUAGGCAACCUGUGUCAGUGCCUCACUAUGCUCAGAAUAAACAAUUUCUCUCUAAUAUCCAACCUAAAUAUCUAACUGAAAGAGGGAUAUCUAAAUAUCCCUCUUUCAGUUUAAAACCACUGCCCCCUUGUCGCAUCACUACAAUCCUUGGUAAAAAGUUUUUGUCUUUCUUAUAAAUCCACUUUAAGUACUCAAAGGCCGAAACGAGAUCUUUGGGGAGCGUUCUCUUGUCCAGACUGAAAAACCCCCAACUUCAAGAGAGGUACUUCAGCCCUCUGAUCCUCCUUCUGGCCUCUCUGGACCCACCCAAGAGGUCCACAUCCUUCUUAUGUUGGGGACCCCAAGACUGGAUGCAGCACUGCAAGUGGGGUCUCACCAAUCUGGUCCUCCAUCCUGCUUUUCUGUAGGCAGCCCAGGAUUAUUGUAGAGACCAAUGUCUGAAUUCCACAGAGCUCAGAUUACAAUUAAAGCUCAAUUAAUCUAUUUUAGCUUGUACUUGCAAUUAAACUGUUUGGCUGAUUCCCUCUCAUCAAAGCAUUAUCUAGAAUUGGAGACACAGCUCAAAUAAAGGAAAGGACAAAGAGGGAAGCUGCACAUUACUUCCACUGAGCUCUGCUAAUGGAGGCCAAGAACAUUAUGUCACUUGGACAUAACAUGAGCUAACCAAAUGUUAGAAAAAUAUACCCUUAUUGACUACUUUUAAGAAAACUCUGCAAUCUUUUAGAACUGAUGGCAUAUACAUCAUCUAUGAAAGCAGUGUCACCACAGCUUUCUUAACUGCUGUCACUGGGAACUUCCUGUAAACGAGUGACUUAGCAUUUUUGCAGACAGCUUCAGAGGAUUCUUCUCAACUAACUGAUUUCUUUUUGUUCAUAUACACAAGGAUCAAGGCCACAGCCAAAAAUAAUAUUUGUAUUCGAAAGUGAGAAAGAAACACCUUGUUUUCCUUAUAACAUUAGGAAAACAAAAAUUUGCAAGAGAGGAAGCAACUCAAGAGUAUGCAGAAAAUACAUUUCACAUGAAACUGCCUGUACUCCAGAAUUUCAGAUGACUCUCCUGGAGAUUUUGCUAUAUGUGAGAAACCAGCUUAUAAUGCAUUUGAAGUCUGGGGUUUUGGUUUUGGUGUUUGUUUUUUUUUCCCCCUAGAAAAAGGGGAUUUAUAAAAUCUUGCUGGGGGAAGAAAUCUUACCUUUUUCUCCACUAUCAUUACCCUUAUUUCCCCAUAAACCUUGCAAAAUCCCCACAAGGAGCUUCAAGCCUAUUUUGCAGCCUAAAUGCCAGCAGUAGCCUAUUACAUACAACACCUGCAAUGACGAUAAUGAAAACUGUUUCAUAAAACCCUGUGGCAAUUACAGCUGUGUACACUCUGCUAUAAUAGCAGCUUUAAAAGGACAUUAAUUAUGCUCUGAUCCUCAAACUGGACUGAUUAGUCAUAAUGUUACACAAUGAUUCACAGUACAGAUGACUCAUACAGAGAGGGUAAUUAUCCAGCAGGACUUCCGUAAGUCUGCUGCUAAAUAUGAGAGCUCAUUACAAGACUGAGGGUUUGUGUUGAAUGAAUGAAAAAAGAAGUGUGGAGAGAAAAAAAGAAAAUAUGUACUUCUAAUCAGCUAGUAUUAAAUGCCUACCCUGACUAAUUUGCAUAUUUAGUUUGAGACACAGGUUUCCUCUUAGCUGUGACCAUGUGUUUUAUUAAGGAAAUACCUUGCAGUUUUAUAAUACAAGUAAAAUCCCUCUUUAAAUGUUUAAGAUUGAUUUUGUACAUGUAUGCAGAUUAUUAGUCUUAAAAAAACACCAAAACAACAAACAACCUUGUGACAUAGCAAAAUAUUUUUCCAGCUUCCAUACAAAAUAGCAUUUUUUUCUCUGCUGGGAGAACACAUUAAAAAUUUUACUGUGUUAAGUGCCCCCUGCAACUUCUACAAAAGUUAUAUACAAAAAAAAUGAAAGCACAAAUUCCAAAGUACACUCUGACAGCCAAUGCUCUGCGAAUACUUUAUUACACAAAUUACAUUCAGCUUCUGAAAAUAGUGUUCUAACAGUGAUACCAUCUAAAAAUAAGACAUUCCAGAAACACAUCAAGUUAGGAAGAAGAAAAAAAUUAAAUAGAGACUUUUUUCUUUCCUUCAAUGCAAUAUCAUGUUAGUGAUUUAAAAAAAUAGAAGAAGACUUAGCAGCUUCAUUUUCUUGUGGCACUGUAUAUUCUCUGUACUGAUCAGGUUAAGGACAUUGAAGAGGAAAGG